RNAcentral lists this small nuclear RNA (105 nucleotides) under Castor canadensis (American beaver). The record is from RNAcentral. Lineage: Eukaryota; Metazoa; Chordata; Mammalia; Rodentia; Castoridae.
UGUUCACUUAAGCAGCACAUAUAACUAAAAAUGGAAUGGUACAGAGAAGAUUAAUGUGCCCUGUACAAGGAUGACAUGCAAAUUCCCGAAGUGUUACAUAUUUUA